UCAAAUAUGGACUAGCGGUUAGGAUUUCUGGUUUUCACCCAGUCGGCCCGGGUUCGACUCCCGGUAUGGGAA
Molecule: non-coding RNA, 72 nt
Organism: Nematostella vectensis (starlet sea anemone)
Lineage: Eukaryota; Metazoa; Cnidaria; Anthozoa; Actiniaria; Edwardsiidae
Source: Rfam